UACUAAAUAUUAUAAUGAAUAAUUAAUCGACCUUGAAUAGUCAUUCAACUCAAAGAUCAUCAGCGAAUCAAUUUCCAAUGAUUGCAGAGUGAAUCCCACAAUUCCUCGAAAUUCAUCCCCUACUUGAAGAUCUCCUGUCGAACACCUAGUUGAGAGUAAAAAACAACUGGCGUUUGUUUAGAACCAUCUCCCGUGCGACGGGAGGAAGAUCAUCGCCAUUGACAGUUUAACGUCAAAAUUAAGGAGGAUGCUGUCUCUCGAUAACAACCGGAUGCACCAGGAGAACGUGAGUAUCCACGAGGAAAUACCCAACGAUGACUCGUCUGAGGAACCCUCAAGGAUCUCGUCCUUGGCGCAACCCAAGGAAUGGACGUACACUAUGAGGAGGAGCAUGCAGGAGGUGAUCCCUGGGCUCUACCUAGGUCCCUACAGUGCAGCAAGUCGUUCAAAGCUCCCUGAACUGCAGGAGCUAGGAAUCACCCACAUCGUGUGCGUCAGACAGGACAUCGAGGCGCACUUCAUAAAGCCAAACUUCCCUGACCAAUUCAAAUAUCUAGUACUGAAUAUUGCGGACGUGGCGACAGAGAACAUAAUCCAGCACUUUCCCACGGUCAAAAAGUUCAUAGAUGAAGGAUUAAAUUCCCAGGGACACGUUUUGGUUCAUGGUAACGCCGGAAUCUCUAGGUCAGCAGCUCUGGUCCUUGCAUACGUAAUGCAGUUGUACGGACUUUCCCACACACGAGCAUACGCACUGGUCCAACAACGAAGAUUCUGCAUAAAUCCAAACGACGGUUUCAUGGCACAACUGAGGGAGUACGAGCCGAUUUAUCAGGCCCAGAAGUCAACAAGUAACGACCAGAGUACAACAAGACAAUGCACAAAACGAUCGCUUUAUCAAAUGGUCAGCGGACGGUUAGACGACAGGCCAGACGCCAUGGAAAGUUGAUGAUGGGGAUUUUGAGGACAUUCAAGAGAUGAAACGGAUCUGAAAUUCGCAGUGAAGUGGUGAAAUAAUUCGAGUGCAUCGUCAUAUAUUUUUUCACUUUAGGAAAAAAUGACGAAAGGCCUUUCUCCCGAGCGAAUUUUUUUUUGUUGAAAUCACUCAUUACUGAGAAAUGCUCAUUAGUUGUAAUAUUAUUAUUGCCGUAUUGCUGUAUUCGUCCCAGGAUUUUCGAGUGGAAAAGAUCACAAAAAUAACAGUGAUGACGAGGAUCAAGUGGAUCACAGAUAAUUGCCACAGUGUUGUUCAAAUUAACUAUCUAAUUAAAUAUAAAAUAUAUCGUAGGCGCCUCGUGCAUUAAAAGUGAUAACUCUAACUUAUGAUAAACGAAAAUUUGAUUAAUGAUUUCAUUUUCUACUAGCGUUUGUUAAUUAAUAAAGUGUUACGGAAGUUCGGAAAAUAAAG
Diachasma alloeum is the source of this 1405-nucleotide RNA transcript. It is a transcript of the gene named serine/threonine/tyrosine-interacting protein, with no coding region annotated. The transcript is spliced from 6 exons. NCBI's taxonomy places the organism in Eukaryota, Metazoa, Arthropoda, Insecta, Hymenoptera, Braconidae. The record is from RefSeq and is a predicted model, not a curated record.